CAGAGUGAGACUCCACCUCAAAAAAAAGAAAAAAGGAAAACCAAGCAAAAGUCACUGUCAGGGGACCUCCCACCCACCAUACAGGGGAACACUCGGCAGAGCCAGAGGCCUGGGCCCAAGUCCUGCCACCAGCUGGCUGUGAAACUGUGGUACAGCACCUUGUGUCCUGCCACCAGCCGGCUGUGAAACUGGUACAGCACCUUGUCCUCAGGUCCUUGGUUUCCUCACUUGUAAAUUCAUGGUUCUCCAUGGCAUCUCUGGUCUUCAACAUUAUUUUGCAUAGAGUCUCAGAAGCUUUAGUGUGAGCGGAUGAUAUGGGCACGAAGCAAGGCACCCAGAAGUGGGGGCAACUACUCUGCUUUCUAAAAUGCAAGGGAACCGGAAAAUCCAGGAGCCGUGCCAAAUGAGAAGAGGAACAAAUGGAGGAACAUCCCAGUCAAGUGACAUUCCUAGUGACAUUCACCAGAACAGAGUCAAGCUUUGGAUCCCAUGUUCUGUGACUUCCUCUUCACCACGCUUCCUCCACACACGUAGCAGCUCAAGGGUUUCUGAUGAGUGGGAGGCUUGACUAGAAUUGAAUUCGAGACAAGCACAAAGAUCAUGAUGCAAAUGAAAGGGACAGAGGGGAGAGAAACAGAAAACAAAGCAUUGCACCCAGUGGAGAAGCAUGUGUGGCCAGGGAGCUGCAUGAAGGUGAAAUCAGAACCUGUCCUUGGAGCACUCCUGGAAGUAUGAGCAGGGGUGCAGUCAGGACGGCCUGACUCUCUGACCCUGUGACUGAGCCACAGGGGUCUCUUCUAUGCUUCACUGUGCUUCUUCAAUCUUGCCAUCACUGUGUUGAAAAAGCAUCCCUGGGCAUUUGUGGUGAAGCCAUUGGCAGAGCAUCAACAGUCUUUCCAAUGUACCAGUCCCACAGGGACCAGCCCCGGCUCCUUUACUUGGUUCAUCAUCCCACAAAAAAGGCUCCAGAGUGAUGAGUGGAGGGAAUGUGUAUACAAGCUGGGAGAUGCUUCAGGGAUGGGGCAUGACUCUGAGAAGCUCCACAUGCAAAACAGGGUUAUGAUGGUCUAGGAGCCAGCUGCAGGGAGGUGGGCAGCCAGGAGGUGGGCUGGGGCUAUCAGGGGAGUGACUGACUGCAAGGGCAGGCUCAAGGUGAAACUUUGAGAGGCAGAUCCCAAGGCCCUUGGAUCUGGCCUGUUACAGCAAAUGGAGGAGUAAGGCAGAAAAGUCCUCUAGGGCUGUCUUCUACUCUCUCCUCCAACAGAUUUUCACUGAGCAUUUGCCAUGAGCCAGACUCUGUUAGCUGUUGAGGUUUCAAGGGAAGGUAGAAAAGACAGAAGCAAACCAAUGAUAAAGAUAUCUAUUGUCUUUUAGUGACUUUCAUACACGCUCCCUCUCUUUUUUAUUCUGUGCAUCUCAUUAUCUAAGGGCUCGUUUUGUACCAAAUGCUUUUAUACAUCAUCUCAUUCAAAUCUCUCUGAGGUUGGAAAUGCUAUUUUUGUUUUACAGCUGUAAAAACUAAGGCCAGAGAGGGAAAGUGAGUGACCCAGGGCCCCACAGCUAGACAGAUUCAAAUCCAUGGGGUCUAUCUUAGUGACAAAGCUGGCACAUUUCUUCCCCUCCUUGUGCCUGCUGAGGUUUUUUUGUUUUGUUUUGUUUUGUUUUUUGUUUGUUUGUUUUGGCUUUUAACAUUUUACAAUAUUUUGCUAUUUUUUCCUAAUCAGGCAAUAUACAUAAAUAUUUUAACAAUCAACUAGUUUAAGAUUUAUGAAAAACAGCGUUUUCUUGCCCACCUUCUCCCAAUUCUUCCUGCUCCCCAGAGGCAGCCACUUCCAAAUGUUAGCCAGUUCAAUUCUACAUGUAAUAGGAGAACGGCAAUUUUUAUUGAUGUGUUGAUUUGAGACAUUUGGCAUCUUCCGGUGAUGAAGUUUUGUCUCUCUCUACUGGACACCAUCUGCCUCUUCCAGAUGUAUUCUUCUCACCCUGGGCAUUCUCCCAAGAGGCUGACCUGUAGGAACGCAGUGAACAGGCUACCUGAUCACUGGCUUCUGGGUUGGGUGUGGCUCAUGAGAGACAUUGGCAGGAGACUGGAUUGGAGGAAGAUGCAGGGGCCAGAGUGUUUACUCUCCUAGAUAAGCCCCUUCCUCCUCUUCUGGCAGGCAGUGCUCUCCAUAUAGCCGCUCUCUUAGGUUCUAGAAAUUGCUCCUACCUUGCCCUUGAGCUCUCAUGCCUAGAGGUGGCAAUGACUGCCUGCUACUGUCAGUGCUAGGUACUGCACUCUGUUUUCCUAAACCCUUUUCACACUUUUAUGAAUAGUCUAUUCAUUACAAUUAGAUACAACUUACCCCCACACCAUCCCCAUACAACUAUACACUCCCCUUCCAGUAUCCUCUCAAUAUAAUUAUAUCAUAUUUGUUGACAUCAUUAGUUGGACAGUAUUUACAUUAUUAAACUAUAUAAAUAUUGCUGACUACAUAGCCAAGUAGAGAGUUAUCAGUCGUGAUUGCAUUUCCUUUUCUAAACUAAUUUUUGUUUUUCCUGCGUUUAACUGCCCAUUUUAAAAAAAGACUUAGUUUUCAAUACAUAGGUCUUUAAUUCUUUCCACACACACCAUCAGACAUGUUAAAUGCAUGUACAUGUUGUUUUCCUGUUUCAAACAUUGUAAAUUCUCUGUAUCUUUUUCUUUGGGUGGGGGGCAAGUGUGAAGUAAACCAGCCUCCAGAAUAAAUAGAACUCAGUGUUAUGGAUUCUAAAAUUAAAAUCUUAACAAAUUAACAAAGUGAUGAAAACAGGAAGUUUAGCUCUCAAGGAUCCUUUAUUGGUCUUAAAGGUUUUACUCUCUUUGGCAAAUAUUGUGACCACUUUAUAGAUGCUACAUAUUCUACUAGACAAAUACUAUGACCUCUUUCAAAGUGUAUCAUCAUUCCCCUUUUAAAUAGCACAUUCGAAGUGUGCUGACUUUUAGUUCUAGGGUCUGCCUUCCCCUUACCUGCUGAGUGUCACAGGAUCUCUUCCCUCCUUGAUUAUCUCAAGGAGAUACAUCAACUUUUGGUUCAUAAAAGAAAGUCAGUCGCUUUUAUUUGUUAAAGACUUGAAGUAUGGGCUGGGCGUGGUGGCUCACGCCUGUAAUCCCAGCACUUUGGGAGGCCGAGGCAGGCGGAUCACCUGAGGUUUGGAGUUUGAGACCAGCCUGACCAACAUGGAGAAACCCUGUCUCUACUAAAAAUACAAAAUUAGCUGGAUGUGGUGGCACAUGCCUGUAAUCCCAGCUACUUGGGAGGCUGAGACAGGAGAAUCGCUUGAACCCGGGAGGCGGAGCUUGCGGUGAGCCGAGAUCGCCCCAUUGUACUCCAGCCUGGGCAACAAGAGCAAAACUCUGUCUCAAAAAAAAAAAAAAAAAAAAAUUGAAGUGUAGUAGGCCUCAAUCUCUGGCUUCCUGCAGUGUAGAUCUUAUCAACAUAAGGUCUCUAUUUAAAAAUGCUGAAAUUGUAGUCUUAUUUUUCGCAAACUUUUCCUGGAGACCCUUCCCUGGAGCCCCCUCUUAGUCAGCUACUUGCUGGACCUUUCUUUCAGCAUUAUCAGCUAUUUCCCUUUCCCUCUCCUGUGCUAGAUGUCCUGUUUCCUGGAUUCCAUACCCUCUUAUUUCUUGAUUUACUCCUUUGUUUUGCUGGAGCAGAUCUUCUAGCAGCUUUGUAAGAAAGCGUGCAUGGAAGGUAAUUUUUCUUGAGUGCCUACAUGUCUAAAAAUGUAUAUGUCCUACUAUUCACUUGAAUUGUAACUGGACAAGCUUAAAAUUUCAGACUAUAAAUGAUCUUUCCUCAAAAUUGUGAAACAUUGCUCCAUUGUUUUCCUGUAAUAAGUGUUGCUGGAGAGAAAUCUGAAGCCAUUUGAUCCCCUUUUUUUGGUUUGCUAUGUGUUCCCUAUAGAAUUCUCUUUUUAACCCUGGUAUUUUGAAAUUUAUGGCACAGGACUUUGGUUGUGCCAAAAAAGGGCACAUUUUAAAAAUUUUAUUAUUUUAGUGGUGUUUUUCAAUUUGAGAAUCUUAGCUUUUAGUUAUAGAAACUUAGUUAUAGGAACUUUUCUUUAUAUAGAAUUUCCUUCCUUCCAAUUUAUAUAUUGCCUCGGGAAUUCCUACCAUUCAAUUUGAAACUUGUGGAUUGAGCUUUUAAGUCUCUUCUUUUAUCUCUCUUAUUUCUUUUUUUCCUCUGGUUCUGUUUUCUGGGAGAUUUCUUUGACUUAUCUUUCAAUUGUUUAUUAGAAUUUUAAUGAUCCAAUUUCUUGUUUUCUGACUGCUUUACAUUAAAAACAUUUUAUUCUAGUUUUACAUAUUCAAUAUCUUCUCUCUCUUUCUAAGGAGAGUAAUCUGGUUUAUUUUUAUUUUAGAAGUUUUCUUCUCUUUCCUGCGUUGUCUCUGUUUCUCCUGGGUUCUUAUUUUUGUUGUGUCUGUUUCGGUUUCUAAAUCUUGAAGUCUUACUUUGCCUGCCUAGAGACCCUUAGCUACUUGGAAGCUCUGUGUUUUCAAGGUUGGGCUUUUAACUGGUGGGUAUCAAAGUAGGGUUAGUGGUGAGCGGGACAUUUUUGUGGGGACUCCCAUAUUUCAAUAUCUAAAGGAAUCCUUUUUUAUUUUUAUUUUUCCAGGACCAUUUAGUCUAUCCAGGGAACUAAUGUCUAUAUCUGUACCCUGGUUGGUAAAAUGCUAGCUGUGAGCGGGGGCAGGGGGAGGUGACGAAGUGGGGAUCCCUGUGUGUCUCAGUCUCCACUGUGCAAACUUACCCCUAUCCCCCGUCCCUUCAGUUUUAUUGACCCCUACUUUACACUGUGUGUGAUGACCCCAAGUCUAGAGAAUUUCAGGUUAAUUUCUCCCAGAGUGUAAUUGCCAGUCCCAGGCUGGGGUCGGGUGGAAGUGAAGUAGUAUGUAUGGGCUGGAGGGUAGUUGCUGCGGUCAAAGGGAGAAAAGGGCACAUGGAGAUCGAACUAGACCAUGUUCUGACUUUCACUCUGCUCCCCUAUUUCACACCCAAGCCUUGCACCUGUCUUUUAAGGCAUCUGGUGCCUUAGCUUAUGCUCUCAGAGUCCUGGAAGAGGACUGGCCUCUUCUCACACCCUCUUCUCCCCCUUCCCCUUGCAGGCACCCUAGCUCACAACUUACUCCUAAAUCUGUACCAUUUCUUUAUCUGCUUUCCAUCUUCCAAAAUAAUAAUAAUAAUAAUAAUAAUAAUAAAAACACCUGCUGAGAUCUCUUCUUCUGAUGUCUUUUAAUUCCUUUCCUGCCUCUGGAGGUCAAUCUGCUAUGUUUAGUUAGAAGUCCCAAAGGCCAUGCUUUGAACCAUUAGGUAAUCCUGCUUUCUGCAAGACAACUUCAGUAUCUGAGAGUUUUUUCCUCCCGUAGUAAAAACAAAGUCAUUUCCAUCUUUGUGUUUACCACAGCUGGUGGCAAAGACUCUCCUUGGCCAAGGCUUAGUCAGGCUCCUCUGAGCUCUCUUAUCGACUAGGCUUCGGCCUUGGUCUUAGUCGUUGCCGAGCCUGCACUGCCCAGUCUUGGCAAGAAUCCUGUUAAGUCAGUUUAGCAAGAAUCCCUCACCCUUGAUUUAUGAUCACCCUUAAUAUCUGAUCAAGUUCUUUAUGUACCACAUUUUCUUUUCUCACUGCACUUUCACACUUUCAUUUCUAACAUCCCUCACUUUUGAUGUAUAUAUCCUUGGCCUGCCUUUAGCAAGAAUUCUGUUAGGUCAGUUUUGCAAGAAUCUCUGUACCCUUGAUGUGUCCUCUUGGUAAUUUUUCAUCCAAUCAUCCCCAUCUUGUUCCUUGGCCCCAGCAGUCUUUGUUGUAUUUGGAGUUGAGCCCAAUCUCUCUCCCUUAUUGCACUGUCCCUAUUGCAAUAGUCCUUUAAAAAAACAAUUUUUUUUUUGGCAGAGAGAGGGUCUCCCUAUGUUGCCCAGGCUAGUCUCAGACUCCUGGCCUACUAGGUGAUCCUCCUGCCUCGGCCCUCCAAAGUGCUGGGAUUAUAGGUGUGAGCCACCACAUCCUGCAGUAAUCUUGGAUAAAGUCUUCCCUACCCUUAUAACAAGUGUCAAAAUAAUAUUAUCACUGGCAUUUGGGAAACAGUGCAGAAGCAGUGCAAGCAGGGACUGCGUGAGAAUGGGAAAGCUAGCCUUUGCCUCAAGAACACUCUGCUUGACUUCAUUAGACAGCUGCACAGGAGGUAAUUUUCUAGGGCAUGGUUUUUCAAACUGUGAGCUGCAACUAUUUACUAAGUCACAUCAACAUUUUAAAAUGAAAUAGAAUAGAGUUAGAAAAUACCAUCCUGUAUUGCCUGUAAUUAAGGGAAGUAUUGACUCAUAAAACUUUUGUUUCAGCUUAUGUGUCUGUGCACCCGGUCAAGGUGUAAAGAUGUAUAUAUAUAUAUAUAUAUACUUUUUACCAUGUAAACUGGUAAAAUAAAAUAAAAUGAUAAAAUAAAAUUAUAGAAGCCACUGAUCUAGGAAGUAGUUUUGGACCUUUUGCUUUCCCCCCCGCCCCCACCCCCAAGAAUAGCUAUACCAGUCAGGCUGAUACUAUUAUCUCUAUUUUAGAGGGGAUGGAUUUGGUUAGGUAAAAUCUCACCACUGAGUGCUAACAUGUCAAUUUCUUAGUCUCUAUUUUACCAUAACCGUGUUAGCUUUUCCUUUGUUUAAAGCAUUUUCUUAACUUUAUCUUGCUUAAGAAAGCCAGGACAUGUAAGAUUCAAGCUUCAUUUCCAAAGUGAAUGAACAGAUAAAUGCUUGUCAGUAUUAGACUAACAAAGAGAUCAAAAGCAAUAGGCAAAACAAUCCACACAUGCCUAGAUGGGGUAAAAUGAAGACUUUGUGAAUCAUUUCCUUUUUAAGUUAUUAGUUCUUGGGAACCUAAGGAAGGAGUAUGGGAUUCUUACCUCAUGGUGGGUGGUAGGAAUUGUGUGAAGCAUUAGUGGCAAGAUUGCAUGCUUAGACUCACAGUAUAAGUAAAACUCAUUCUAUAGACAAUUCUACAAAAGAAUGAGAAGAAUGCCAUAGACCGUGGAAGGCUCAUGCGAUGAGCAUGUCAGCCCACUUCUGCUCUGCCUUUCCUUUAAACUGGUCCACACCCCAGACCCUUCACCAUUUUGGUUUUUGUAGGAAGAGAACUCAACCACCAAAUACCCUGUAGGCUUGGGAGGGCAUACACAUGAGAAGCAGGUUCCCCUAGGCUCAGGUGAGCCCCACCUUCAAGGUGGAAAACCUUGGGGACCUUCUGGAAAUGCAGAGGCAGAUAGGGCUUCAUGCUUGGUGAAGAGAUGAGCAUUCACAACUAGCUUGGUUCUCUACCAAUGGUCAAAAUGGUUGAUUUUGCUACUGAAUGAGAGACAUCAAUUUUCUUGAGAUUCAACUAUCUUUUGUGCCACUUCUGUGUAAUGCCAACUAGUCAUUUGGUGAGUUUAUUUAGAUAAAGAAUCAGAUUUUGAAGCAAACUUGUUUCCUCUGUGACCAAAAAAAGGGCAUUUUAAGCCUGCAAAUAAAACUUAAAAUGCUUUAUUUCUAUAAAUAAAUAAAUAAACUGAGCAAAUAAAAAAAUACAACACAUGGAACAUAAAAACUCCAGUAACAAUUGGACCAGGUCACCCUUAGUGUAAAUGUCAACAUUCUUUUUCAAAUUGUUAUUUAAUUAUUUGUUAUUCUAUAUUUUAUUUAUUUGACAGCCAAAGCUUCCCUCCCAGAGGAGGAUGUUCCUUUGCCUUUGUCCAGAGCCCUUCAGGAGAAGCAGAGGAAUUGCUCAGAGAUGAGCUGGGAUUGCUUGGGGGGCACAAGGAGAUAGCGAUGCCCAUCAUCAUUGUAAUAGUUAGGAUUGGCUCUCAGGCAUGGUGCCGAACACUUUACCUGGAUUCUUUAAUUUAAUUCACCCGACAUGAGAUAGGUGUACUGACUGUCCCCAUUUUGCCAAUGAAAAAACUGAGGUAGAGUGAGGUUAAACCACUUGCCUAGUUCAGUGUCAGGACUGACUCUCGGCAGCCUGACCCCAGGGCCUUGACACUGACCAAGGUUGCAGUGUUGUCUGCUCCUGGAAGUUCUCACUGACCAGUUUGCAAAGUGGGAUUGCUUUUUCUUUUUCUCCUUCCUUCCUUCCUUCCUUUCUUUCUUUUUUUGAGAUGGAGUUUCGCUCUUGUUGCCCAGGCUGGAGUGCAAUGUCGUGAUCUCAGCUCACUGCAACCUCUGCCUCCCAGGUUCAAGUGAUUCUCCUGCCUCACCCUCCCUAGUAGCCGGGAUUACAGGCAUGUGCCACCAUGCCUGGCUAAUUUUGUACUUUUAGUAGAGACAGGGUUUCUCCAUGUUGGUCAGGCUGAUCUUGAACUCCCAACCUGGCUAAUUUUUGUACUUUUGUAGAGACAGGGUUUCACCAUGUUGGCCAGGCUGGUCUUGAACUCCGGACCUCAAGAUGCAAGAGAUGACACAGGUUUGGUGUUUUGUUUGUUUAAUGACAAAAGAGAAGAGCAAAAGAGAAUAUGGUUGAAAGGACAGGAAUAGAACUUUCAAACAGAAUUUUCGAUCCCUAACACAAAGAAUGGUAUUCCAAAUCUGAACACUCUAAAAGAGAGAAUAAUGCCAUUCCCCUUCGUUAUUAGAAAUAAUAUUAUUAUGUCUAUUAGGAAAAAAAAUCACACAAUUUUAAUGUGCAUCAGAAGCAUCAGGCUGAUUUUUUCCCCUCUGGAUUUUAUUUUUAAAGUCAGAAUUGGUUUCCUGCCCUUCAAGUGCUCCACUGCUGAUACCAAUAGUGAGAUUGUGUAAUUGGCAAUAAAUUUCCUACAUGAAGAGCUUCUGGCCAGCUCCUUUUGAAAGCUUAGAAUGUUUUGCUUAGUUGGGCUUUUCUGUCCCUGCAAAGUUAGUCUCCUGCAAAUUUGUGUCCACUUCUGCAGGAGGGAAUUGGAAGGCUGAGGAGAAAUUUGUUGGUGAUGAAGUAGCACAAGACAAGGCACAAAAGAUGGGGUGGGGGAGUCCAGGAGGCUGGGAGGCAGGCAUAGGGUAAAAUUGUUGAAAAGAGACACUAUAGUUCUUUAUUUAAAAAAAUAAAAAUAAAAAAGCAUCUGAAGAAUUUGCCAAUUCAGCAUUUAUCUAGCAUUUGCUUCUCUGGGGCAGUGAUUCCAAAUUCCCAGCCUGUCAGGAGCUGGAGCACCCUUUGCAACUGUUUGCUUGAUCAUAGGAUUCUCUUUUCUCCCUCUUCUUAGAAAUAAUGCAUCCAUUAAAAUAAAACUAAAGUGAAUUUAAGAUUUCAUUGUUUUGAAAUACAUAUUUUAAAAAUACAAGGUUUGAAAAACACUCCCCCUGAAAUAACUCUAGUCCUUUCUAGGGAGUCGUGAAACUGUAGCUUGUGGAGAGUAGCCUUCCUUCAGGCUUUCAUAAAGACCUGGUGACUCAGCACUGGCGGACUUCCCAGGAGUCAGUUCCCACCUUGGGGAAUAAUUUUCCAUUCCUGGGGGAGUCCCUCCGGGAGACACCUCCUCUGCUUCUUCAAGUCAGAGAAGUGUUCUGCCCUGCCCUCCCCCAGCCUCCUGCCAGGUUCCUGCUGCCAGCCUCAUGCUGUGCUGUGUAUUAUAGAAUUUCUAGACUUACUGCUCCUGCUUAAUUGUCAACUCUUUGCCAGAGAGUUUGUGCUUGCCCCUUGUGUGUGUUGGAGUAAACUUUAAUUUCUGUUUUGGAGGCUAGGGCUCUUGACUGUCAUAAGUCUAAUCAGAAUGCCACAGAAUCAGGCCGAGCACGGUAGCUCACGCCUAUAAUCCCAACACUUUGGGAGGCCAAGGCAGGCAGAUCAUCCGAGGUCAGGAGUUCAAGACCAGCCUAGCCAAUAUGGUGAGACCUUGUCUCUACUAAAAAUACACAAAUUAGCCGGGCAUGGUGGUGCACACCUGUAGUCCCAGCUACUUGGGAGGCUGAGGCAGGAGAAUAGCUUGAACCCGGGAGGCCGAGGUUGCAGUGAGCCGAGACUGAGCCACUGCACUCCAGCCUGGGCAACAGAGAACAAAGUUUUCAAUAUUGGGAUGUCUUUUAAAAGACAUGUAUUUUGAGAUAAACUGAAGUGAUUUAAAUAUAUGAGUCGAUAACAAAUCUUCACAUUCUGCACAUGUAUCCCAGAACUUAAAGUAUAAUAAAAAAAUAAAUAUAUGAGUCCAUGGGAAAUACUUUUUGAUGCAGGCAUUCACCAAAUUCUUCACGGAGACACACAUAAUGUCCUAAAAUCUGAAAGAAAACAGUUUACCUGAGACAAUGCAUAGGUUGAACUGGUCAGCAAAGUGUCCACUUGUAUCUUUCAAAGAAACUUGUUUCUGAAGAGCGGAGCAAGUACUGCUUUGAAAGAAGCAACGAUUUGGAACUGAGAGUUCUGGAUGAAUGCCUAUUGUUGAGUGUGCUGGAUAAACGAGCCCUGUACAAAGAGGUCCAGGUACGCUGAGCGGGCACAGCAUCUUUCUUGUCGCAUGUAAGUCCGCUGUCCAAAUACCCGAUCUGGGGUGCGACUGUACACAUCCUCCUGAUUUGUUAGCUCUUUCUUGGCUAAGGUCAGAGAUGAAGUUCAGAACAAAAUUUAGAUACCCGGACACACUGAAAUGCAUUUCUUUUUUUGCUAAUGAAGCAGGCUUGUGCAGAAGACCCUCUUUAGUCAUUGCUUCAGGCCAGCAUUUCCUUAAAGGGUUCAUGACUCUGGAAAAGUUGAAUAUAAAUAGGGGAAGCCCUCAGCAAAGCUUUCAGAAUUGUUUUCCCUGUUUCCAGCUUUCUACUCCUUGUUCUCUGUGUCUUCCCUCAACCCUCCUUUCUCUUCUUCCCAGUCAUCCAUUAGGCAUUUUACAACUGAUGGGCUGUUCAUGUAAUGAUUGCUACCCUAAAGGAUCAUCAAUGGGGCCAAGCCAUUGGGCGGAUUGUUGAGGCACAGGGGACCCACAUGUGCCAAUCUCUCCAGAGUUGUUUGCUAAUUGCAUGGGAUAAAAGCACCUUCAUGAUGGAGAGAUCCGAUGGUCACCACUUGGCUGAAAUGGUCAAACUUGGCAGCACUCAUCAUGACACUACCCAACUUUGUGGGCCUCCUGAUGGGCUGCAGCAUAAAGCACACAGUCUCACUCAGGGCAUGCUCUUGCCCAAACAUUCAUUCUGAAUCUCAUCAAGCCUCUAGACCUAUCCUUCAAGUUACUGGAAAUACGGGGGCAGGCUAAGGACAAGCUACACAGUAGGAUGAGGAAGCAAACCGACACAUCAAGAAUAGGGGAAAUUUUACAAGAAGACUGUCCUGGACUCAGGAAGAAAAUCAACAUCAUGAUUUAAAAGUGUGUGUCGGGGGAGUGGUUGGGGGGACCGUUCUAGAGGAAAAGAUUAAAGGAGUCUAAAGAGACAUGAGAGUCAAAUGAGGAAUAUUUACCUCAGAUCCUCGGUCAAAACAACAGCCACCAAUAAGGUGAUGAAGAACAGGAAAAAAAAAAACAUCUAAGAGAGACAUUUAAGGAACAGUUGAGGAAAUUGGAAUAUGCACUAGAUAUUAGGUGACAGUAGGGAAUUACUGUAGGGAAUUUCUGAGUUGCGAUCAUUGCAUUGCGGCUUUUUAGAAGAAUAUCUAUUUCUUUUUUAAAUUUUUGCAUUUUUAGUAGAGAUGGGGAUUCGACAUGUUGGCCAGUCUGGUCUCGAGCUCCUGACCUCAAGUAAUCCGCUGGCCUCGGCAUCCCAUAUGUCUUUUAGGAUUACAGAAUUCACAUUCAGUUCCAGGGAUGAAGUAACAAACACUAAACUGGCAAGUCCAAUGUAUAAGAAAUAGAACCCACUAACAUGCCUGAAUGUCCACCCACACCAGCCAAGCAGAACUUCCAGCAGCCAGGCAAAUCCUGAGGAAUCUUGUGAAGCAGGUCAAGGGGUUGCCUGUCUUCUGGGUUGGGGACCAGGAAAGGCCAACUGGAGAGUCUUCUUGUCCAAGUUGCUGUUUUGUGAGGUUUUGGUGUGUAGCUUGCUUUUUUCAUUUUUUAUUGUUGUGUAGUUCUCACCUCACAUGAGAGACUCCAGCUCUUCUGCUGUUGUUCCAAUAGCCUUUGUAAUGCGAUUACAUGGGCAGCUUCUAACUUGCUCAGUCGUGGGGGAGUAGAAAUACAUGAUUGGAACUUCAGGGUAAAGGUGACAGGGUGAACCCAUACAUCUAUAAGAAUUUCCCCAAGUUUUAGUAAAUGAAAAUAAAACGUGACCCACCAGAAAGUAUCAGAGAGAGGAAAUGUAAAGAGGUCACAUAAAAGAAACAGUAUUUAGAAAAGCUUUUAUUUUAUUUUAUUUUAUUAUUAUUAUACUUUAAGUUUUAGGGUACAUGUGCACAUUGUACAGGUUUGUUACAUAUGUAUACAUGUGCUAUGUUGGUGUGUUGCACCCAUUAACUCGUCAUUUAACAUUGGGUAUAUCUUCUAAUGCUAUCCCUCCCCCCUCCCCCCACCCCAUAGCAGUCCCCGGUGUGUGAUGUUCCCCUUCCUGUGUCCAUGUGUUCUCAUUGUUCAACUCCCACCUAUGAGCGAGAACAUGCGGUGUUUGGUUUUUUUGUCCUUGCGAUAGUUUGCUGAGAAUGAUGGUUUCCAGCUUCAUCCAUGUCCCUACAAAGGACAUGAACUCAUCAUUUUUUAUGGCUGCAUAGUAUUCCAUGGUGUAUAUGUGCCACGUUUUCUUAAUCCAGUCUAUUGUUGUUGGAUAUUUGGGUUGGUUCCAAGUCUUUGCUAUUGUGAAUAGUGCCGCUGUAAACAUAUGUGUGCAUGUGUCUUUAUAGAAGCAUGAUUUAUAAUCCUUUGGGUAUAUACCCAGUAAUGGGAUGGCUGGGUCAAAUGGUAUUUCUAGUUCUAGAUCCCUGAGGAAUCGCCACACUGACUUCCACAAUGGUUGAACUAGUUUACAGUCCCACCAACAGUGUAAAAGUGUUCCUAUUUCUCCACAUCCUCUCCAGCACCUGUUGUUUCCUGACUUUUUAAUGAUUGACAUUCUAACUGGUGUGAGAUGGUAUCUCAUUGUGGUUUUGAUUUGCAUUUCUCUGAUGGCCAGUGAUGAUGAGCAUUUUUUCAUGUGUUUUUUGGCUGCAUAAAUGUCUUCUUUUGAGAAGUGUCUGUUCAUAUCCUUUGCCACUUUUUGAUGGGGUUGUUUGUUUUUUUCUUGUAAAUUUGUUUGAGUUCAUUGUAGAUUCUGGAUAUUAGCCCUUUGUCAGAUAAGUAGGUUGCAAAAAUUUUCUCCCAUUCUGUAGGUUGCCUGUUCACUGUGAUGGUAGUUUCUUUUGCUGUGCAGAAGCUCUUUAGUUUAAUUAGAUCCCAAUUGUCAAUUUUGGCUUUUGUUGCCAUUGCUUUUGGUGUUUUAGACAUGAAGUCCUUGCCCAUGCCUAUGUCCUGAAUGGUAUUGCGGAGGUUUUCUUCUAGGGUUUUUAUGGUUUUAGGUCUAACAUUUAAGUCUUUAUUCCAUCUUGAAUUAAUUUUUGUAUAAGGUGUAAGGAAGGGAUCCAGUUUCAACUUUCUACAUAUGUCUAGCCAGUUUUCCCAGCACCAUUUAUUAAAUAGAGAAUCCUUUCCCCAUUGUAGAAAGCUUUUCAAUGAUAUUGUUGGAAGGUAGGGGAUAAUCAAGCAAUGCUUUGAAAUAUCUAAAGGAAAACUAAUUCCAUCCUGGAACUCUAUGCUCAAACUGUUACUUGAGUGUAUGGGAGAAUAAUACACAUUUCCUAGAUAUGUAAGGCUCAAAACAUUUACCUCUCAUGUUAUUCAAGAAGCUAUUGGAGGAUUGGCUUCUCCAAAACAAGGAAAUAAGAAAGAAGGAUGCAUAGAAUGCUAGAAAAGGGGGAAUUAAUACAUGAAAAAGGUGGAAGGAUCUUUCAGACAUCCUGGGAGGACUGCUUCACCCUGGGCAGAGAGGGCAAUCAUUCCUGAUCUAAGACAUCAGAAACCUCCAGAAGAGUCCCAGAUGGCCCAAUAACCUGAAAAUAUUGAGAGGUUUAAUAGGUGGUUGAGAAUUUGGGAUUGGAUUAGUGGAAGGUACAGAAAAAACUAACUAAGCAAAAGAAAGAGAAUGAUUAUUAACUUCUAGAAAAACACAGUUUUUAGGAAAGAAAAAGUCAUCAUAGUAUACUAUGUGGCUCAGUUGUGAAUGGCAUCUUCACAGUCAUGGUAAUGUAAGCAGUGGAUAGUGAUCCAAUUAAACUUAAUAACAGAAAAUAUUGGUGAGGUGGGAGAUCAGCAGGACUUGUUUUCUGAGCACUUGUUCCAACCCUGCUGAUCAAACAGGAUCUGGUCAAAACAGGAUGUUUAAAGAAACUGAACAAAACCAGCUAAAACCAAGAUGGCAACAAAAGUGACCUCAAGUUGUCCUCACUGCUUGUUAUACGCUAGUUAUAAUGCACUACAUGCUAAAAGACACUCCCACCAGCACUAUGACAGUUUAUAAAUGCAAUGGAAAUGCCCAGAAUUUACUUUAUAUGGUUUAGAAGGGGAGGAACUCUUGGUUCCAGGAGCUCCUCACCCCUUCUCUAGAAAAUGUGUGAAUACCCUGCCCCUUAUUUAGCAUAUAAUUAAGGCAUAGUUAUAAAUACAGCUAGCCAGCAAUCCACAAGUGCUACUCUGCCUAUAGGGCAGCCCUGCUGUGUUUGUGGAGCAGCCAUUUUCCUAUACUCUGUUGCUAUAAUAAACUUGCUUUGAUUUCACUUUAUUUUGUUGGCAUGCUCUUGAAUUUUUUCCUAUGUGAAGCCAAGAACCCACCUGGGCUGAGCCCUAAUUUUGGGGUUCACCUGUGUCAUUGAUGGUAGGAUGGGAAGACAUGGAAGGUAUGUAUAGGAGUGUAUGUUGAGGAUGUAAUAUGAAAGAGACCCAAAUGGCCAUCUUCCAGAGUUGGAAGUCCAUAGCAAAUGCCUAAAGCUUAAAAAGAUCAAGAAAUUACAAUAUAAGCAUGUUAUUUAGAGAAAUGGAGAUAGGUACUCAAAGCCUUCACUAAAAGAGUUGGCUGUUGUUGCUCCACAUAGUGGUUAAUGAGAGGUGGCUGACAGCCUGCCUUCUUUUUUGUAACAGGGCUAAAAACUGCACCAAACAGGAGCCUAUUCUCUGUAAUAUUUUGUCUAUGAAAUUCUGGAAGAAUUCUUCUGACCUCAUCACUAUAGGACUUCAUGCUCUGGGCCAGGGGUCACAAAAUGGUGCCAUAGUAGUGGGUUUUUUUAUGACUCCCAUAGUUUUAUAUUUUUAAUAAAAAUAUUUGAAUUUAUUGAGAACAAUUACAAAUCAGGAGAUUUACAGGAAAAUACCAAUUUCUAAUUUCCCUUGAAAGAAAUCAGAAGAUUCAUGAAAACAAAUGCCUGCCCAACAACAGCAGCUGACUGACACGGGGACAGAGCUGUGCCCCUCAGGCAGCCAAAGGCCCCACCUGGUACUCACCUGCUCCCCACCUUCCCCCACUGGCGUUUUUGGUUACGUGCCUGGCCUCUGUAGGCAUUUGCAUACAGGUGUCAAAAUACUGCUUUUCCUACUUCACCUUUUGGAAGCACUAUAAGGGAUUUUUUUCUCUCUUUUCCUCCCCAUUAAUUUUCUAUUCCUUCAUAAGACAAGUAUUAUGCAAUCUAUUAGGGAUAGUGUAGCAGAGAGAGUUCAGUCACUGCAGUGAGAAAGAACCAGUUACGAAUCCAGAUUCUACCAAGUUCUGUGACUGUGAGCAAGCCACUUAAUUUCACUGUACCUCAGGUUCCUUUUGAGUUGAAUGGGUCAUAUAAUUGUUGUUGCAAGGGUUAGGCAUGAUAAUUUUCAUGAAGUUGAUUGCCCACUCCAUUGUUAAAAGCCACAACACCUAAAGCAAAUUAUUAAAUAGAUAAUAGAUUUGAUUAAAUAUCUUCAGGCAGAUGUAGGUAUUCCCAAAAGUUUUUUCAUCUCUAAGAGACAAGACAAGAUUCUGAUCAUCUAAGGGUCUUGGCCCAUGGCUGUUCAAUGCUGUGAGUGGGUAUAGUCUAAUUGUUUAAGUAAGUUGAUUUAUUGGGGAAAAGAGAAUGCUGAAGUUUAAAGUUUCAAGCCUAGAACCCAUGGACCCUUUAGUUAAUCAGUUUCCACAAAUAUUUACCAAGGGUCUCCUGGGUUUCAGACACUUUAAUGGGCUUCAAGUAAGGUACAUGUUGUUGUUGUUGUUGUUGUUUGAGAUGGAGUUUCGCUCUUGUUGCCCAGGUUGGAGUGCAGUGGCGCGAUCUCGGCUCACUGCAACCUCUGCCUCCCGGGUUCAAGCAAUUCUUCUGCCUCAGCCUCCCGAGUAGCUGCGAUUACAGGCAUGCGCCACCACGCCCGGCUGAUUUUGUAUUUUUAGUAGAAAUGAGGUUUCUCCAUGUUGGUCAGGCUGGUCUCGAACUCCCGACCUCAGGCAAUCUGCCCGCCUUGGCCUCCCAAAGUGCUGGUAUUACACACGUAAGCCACCGCGCCUGGCCAGUACAUGCUUUUUUCUAAGAGGAACUCAGAGUUUAAUGAAAAAUGCUUAUUUAUAAAGAGACAUAUGACUAGUUGUGGCAGUAAGAAUUUAGAAAAGAGGGAGACUUUUUAACUGUGUGAUUCUAUACGUUCUAGAAUGUGCUCCUGGAUGUUGUCAGGACUUACUUCCUGGGCUUUCUGCAGAAUAGGAUCAGCAGUUAUCGAUUCACAAAGGGUCAGAAGAUUGCUUUAUGUGGCCCUAUAUUUCACAGAAUUUUAGAGUUGGCAUCUUUAAAAUAAUAACAGGGAAAAUGCUGGGCCAUCCGCAGAUGUUCAACAAAUUCUUAGAAUAUGUAAGCAGGAAGUCAAUUUCAUCAACUCCGAUCCAUCAAAAAUGAUUUCAAAUAAGAAGGGCGGCGCUGAGAGACUGAGUGACUAGGUUAAGGUUACACAGCUUGCUAAUCAAGCAAGGAGUGCACAGAAAUGACUAGUCUAUUGUAGGGAGGAGAAGAAAAUAUCUUUCAGAUUUGCCCUGGAAAGAGAGAGAAAAGAUCUUCCACUGCCUUCUCUAUGGUGAUGGCUGGUGUAAGGAACACCUGCAUCCUACCUAAGUAUUUAACUUGAGACACGUGAAUCCUUUCAUUUAUUAACAAAUAUUUGGGCUGGGCAAGGUGGUUCACGCCUGUAAUCCCAGCACUUUGGGAGGACCAAGGCGGGCAGAUCACGAGGUCAGGGGAUCGAGACCAUCCUGGCUAACACUGUGAAACCCUAUCUCUACUAAAAAAUAUACAAAAAAUUAGCCAAGCGUGGUGGCAGGCGCCGGUAGUCCCAGCUACUUGGGAUGCUGAGGCAGGAGAAUGGCGUGAACCCAGGAGGCAGAGUUUGCAGUGAGCUGAGAUCGUGCCACUACACUCCAGCCUGGGCGACAGAGCGAGACUCCGUCUCAAAAAAAAAAAAAAAUUGUGGAGUGCCUACCUGUGCCAGGUACGGUUCUGCAAAGCCCUCUGCCCAGCAAAACAGAGCAAGAGACUGGCUCUCAUGGAGCCUGCAGUCUAGCAGGGCUGGUGGCAGAGGCAGCUGGGGCCAGCCACAAACAAGGGAUGCAAUAAAUAUCACGGUACUGUGUAUAGCAUGGUACGAGGUGGCAGGUGCCAUUGGAAAAAGUCAAGUAGAGCAGGCACAGUGGAUGUUAUGGGUUUCUGUCCAGACCUCCUCUUCAGGAUGAAGAUAUCCCCAUCCCCGAGCUGCUGGGAUAUCGGUGGCUGGUGAAUCACAGCUGCCUCCCUCAGCUUCUGGAAACAGUCUUGCUUACAGUUAUGCCUUUCCCAGGGUGAAGCCCAUGACCAAGUCUGCCUGACCUGGGAUAUAAGGCCCAGCCCCUUUCCUCAACUGGAGACACUCUAGGGCCUUCCCAGCUCCAGAGCUCCCUGUAAGGCUGGCUCAGUCCUCAGUGGCAGCCAGCCAACCACAUGGGGUGCCGGCUUCUCUCUCCCGAUCCUGCCUUCCCAGCUUCCUCACAGGUGUGUGCUCCCUGAGCACCCCCCAAGAGCCUGCUGCAUGCCUCUCUCUCGGUCUCAGCCUUUUGUUCCAGGGAACACGAUCCUAGACAGCAAGAUAAGAAGAUCAGGAGGGAGAGGACGACAGCUUGCCUAUUUUAAACAGCACGGCCAUUGUAAACCUCAUUGGGAAGAUAACGUUUGGGAAAAGCUUGAAGUCAUGAGAAAAAUUUUAAAUUGAUAAAAACAUAAUUUAAAUGUUUCUGUUGCUUUUGUCUUUGGUUGCUUAUGGUGAAAAACCAAGGCAAAUGUCUCUUUUAUCAGGAAAAUACAUUAAUGGGCUUAAAACAUAAUGUGAAUGAAGAGAUUGAAGCCUAGCAAGGUAUAUGGCUCAGCACAAAAGAAGGAGAAUUCUGUGAUUCCCCUCUGGCAGCCCUAAAGAGAAGGGGCUGGGGCCUCCAGAGGGAAGAAGGUAUAGGGCAACAGUACUUGAGAGAGGUGAGGACCCCAGCAAUCUGAUAAGAG
Molecule: long non-coding RNA, 18417 nt
Filed under: Homo sapiens (human)
Lineage: Eukaryota; Metazoa; Chordata; Mammalia; Primates; Hominidae
Source: RNAcentral